UGUCAGUAUUUGAUUUUAAGUCCUCGGAGAUUUCUACCUUAAGUGGUCUUUGAAAUGGUAUCCAGAAGUACACCUGCAAGGAGGACAAGCUUUAUGUUGGUGCAAAAGGAUUGUAAAGGGGCGUUUGGUAUGGGAUGAUUAUCCCAAGAUCAAGGGUGAUAUGUGUGGAGGUGAUGAGAUCGCCGCGUUUGGUUACACCACAAUAAUUCUAUGUGGUG
This 218-nucleotide long non-coding RNA is filed under the name Phoenix dactylifera (date palm). RNAcentral's name for it is "long non-coding RNA (PDAC_LNC000890)". Lineage: Eukaryota; Viridiplantae; Streptophyta; Magnoliopsida; Arecales; Arecaceae. The record is from RNAcentral.